GAUGAACGCUGGCGGCGUGCCUUAUACAUGCAAGUCGAGCGAACGGACGAGAAGCUUGCUUUUCUGAUGUUAGCGGCGGACGGGUGAGUAACACGUGGAUAACCUACCUAUAAGACUGGGAUAACCUCGGGAAACCGGUGCUAAUACCGGAUAAUAUUUUGAACCGCAUGGUUCAAAAGUGAAAGACGGUCUUGCUGUUACUUAUAGAUGGAUCCGCGCUGCAUUAGCUAGUUGGUAAGGUAACGGCUUACCAAGGCAACGAUGCAUAUCCGACCUGAGAGGUGAAUCGGCCACCCGGGAACUGGGACACGGCCAGGAUCCUUAGGGAGGGAAGCAGUAGGAAACUUGCCGCAAGGGGCGAAAGCCUGACGAAGCAACGCGGCGGGAGGAAUGAGGCCCUUCGGUUCGUAAAGCCCUGUUAUAAGGAAAGAAAAUAUGGGGAUAAAACUGUGCACAUCUGAAGGGAACCGAAGAAGAAGGCCCCGGCAAACUACGU
Molecule: ribosomal RNA, 496 nt
Filed under: uncultured bacterium
Lineage: Bacteria
Description: partial 16S ribosomal RNA
Rfam family: Bacterial small subunit ribosomal RNA
Source: RNAcentral